This 463-nucleotide long non-coding RNA is filed under the name Gopherus evgoodei (Goodes thornscrub tortoise). Its description in RNAcentral is "lncRNA (ENSGEVG00005011108.1)". The record is from RNAcentral. Lineage: Eukaryota; Metazoa; Chordata; Testudines; Testudinidae.
CUGUAAUCAUGGAGAAUACACCGAGGAAUGUAACUGGCUCUGAGUCCUCAGAGAUAGUGAAUCCUCAAGCACCAGCUGGUAACAUGACAUCGCCAAGGCGUAGGCCUGAGGAACCUGUGGGAAUUGCCAACAGAGCUGCUCCAAUAACAUCACCAACCAGAAGACCAUGGGACUCGGUAACAGCAGCCACUGCUGAAAAGGCCUUGGAGAAGAUACGCAGGGAACGAAAUAAUCUGGUCAAAUUACUUCAAAACAUUGCUGGCAAGGUCUUGGAUGAGUUGCUCUGCCAGUUGGUGAUCACACAGCAGGACUACAAUCGAAUCAACAAAAGAAAGGAUGCAGAGGACAAAAUAAGACUAUUGUUGAUUGUGAUCCAGCAGAAAGGGGAACUGACCUGUAUGCAAUUUUUGGAGAGUUUACAAAACCUGUUGCCUGAUUUCCAACAGCACAUACAAUACCCAGG